RNAcentral lists this long non-coding RNA (500 nucleotides) under Carica papaya (papaya). RNAcentral's name for it is "long non-coding RNA (CPAP_LNC006077)". Lineage: Eukaryota; Viridiplantae; Streptophyta; Magnoliopsida; Brassicales; Caricaceae. The record is from RNAcentral.
AUGUAUGCUCAAGAUAGUUAAUCUACCUAAGCAUUUUAUUGUAAAUCUUUACUUGCUACAUGUACCUGUUGAAUCAAUUUUUAUAAGCUCUUUUGAAAUAUGACAUUCUUGAGAGAGUUUAGAUAGAAAAUAAGUAUAAUAUUCUCACUUGAAGGUGUUUAGUUGUUCAUGUACCUAAAAAACAAAUAUAAUAACUUAUGACAAUGACACUCUAGCUUUUUCUAGGUUAUGGAGAUCCGAAAUUUGCGUAUAGAUUAUAGGAUCAAUAAAAAAAAUUGAGUCUAGAGAUUAAGUGCAUAAAACUCUAAUCUAAACCAGAAAUAUCUUAUAAAACAAGCACCAAGUUUAAAAUUAAUGCUUCACCUACAACUGAGCAUGCAAUAGAAAAAAGGUUAAGUGAAAAACAUGAGCUCAACUAAGCCAAUAGUAAGUGAAAAACACGGAUUUUUAUUGUCUUUAUGAUGCUUAAAAAUAUAUAAAAAGAAUGAUAGCUGAUGAAU